RNAcentral lists this ribosomal RNA (468 nucleotides) under uncultured bacterium. RNAcentral describes it as "partial 16S ribosomal RNA". It matches the Rfam family "Bacterial small subunit ribosomal RNA", at positions 28 to 507 of the family's 1533-position model. The record is from RNAcentral.
GACGAACGCUGGCGGCGUGCUUAACACAUGCAAGUCGAACGGAAAGGCCCUGCUUUUGUGGGGUGCUCGAGUGGCGAACGGGUGAGUAACACGUGAGUAACCUGCCCUUGACUUUGGGAUAACUUCAGGAAACUGGGGCGAAUACCGGAUAGGAGCUCCUGCUGCAUGGUGGGGGUUGGAAAGUUUCGGCGGUUGGGGAUGGACUCGCGGCUUAUCGGCUUGUUGGUGGGGUAGGGGCUUACCAAGGCUUUGACGGGUAGCCGGCCUGAGAGGGUGACCGGCCACCUUGGGACUGAGGUACGGCCCAGACUCGUACGGGAGGCAGCAGUGGGGAAUCUUGCACAAUGAGCGGAAGCCUGAUGCAGAAGCGCCGCGUGCGGGAUGACGGGCUUCUGGUUAUAAACCGCUUUCGCCUGUGACGAAGCGUGAGUGACGGUAAUGGGUAAAGAAGCACCGGCUAACUACGUG